This 373-nucleotide ribosomal RNA is filed under the name uncultured bacterium. RNAcentral's name for it is "bacterial SSU rRNA". It matches the Rfam family "Bacterial small subunit ribosomal RNA", at positions 521 to 896 of the family's 1533-position model. The record is from RNAcentral.
UAAUACGGAGGGUGCAAGCGUUGUCCGGAUUUAUUGGGUUUAAAGGGUGCGUAGGCGGCUGAUUAAGUCAGUGGUGAAAGCCGAUAGCUUAACUAUCGAACUGCCAUUGAUACUGGUUAGCUUGAGUACAAAUGAGGUAGGCGGAAUUUAUGGCGUAGCGGUGAAAUGCAUAGAUACCAUAAAGAACUCCGAUAGCGAAGGCAGCUUACUAAAUUGUAACUGACGCUGAGGCACGAAAGCAUGGGGAUCAAACAGGAUUAGAUACCCUGGUAGUCCAUGCUGUAAACGAUGAUAACUCGAUGUUAGCGAUAUACCGUUAGCGUCCAAGCGAAAGCGUUAAGUUAUCCACCUGGGGAGUACGCUCGCAAGAGUG